This 938-nucleotide ribosomal RNA is filed under the name Lactobacillus helveticus. RNAcentral describes it as "bacterial SSU rRNA". It matches the Rfam family "Bacterial small subunit ribosomal RNA", at positions 64 to 984 of the family's 1533-position model. Lineage: Bacteria; Bacillati; Bacillota; Bacilli; Lactobacillales; Lactobacillaceae. The record is from RNAcentral.
GAACCGGCCAAAAUUUACUUCGUGUAUGACGCUGGGGACGCGAGCGGCGGAGGGUGAGUAACACGUGGGGAACCUGCCCCAUAUCCUGGGAUACCACUUGGAAACAGGUGCUAAUACCGGAUAAGAAAGCAGAUCGCAGGAUCAGCUUAUAAAAGGCGGCGUAAGCUGUCGCUAUGGGAUGGCCCCGCGGUGCAUUAGCUACUUGGUAAGGUAACGGCUUACCAAGGCAAUGAUGCAUAGCCGAGUUGAGAGACUGAUCGGCCACAUUGGGACUGAGACACGGCCCAAACUCCUACGGGAGGCAGCAGUAGGGAAUCUUCCACAAUGGACGCAAGUCUGAUGGAGCAACGCCGCGUGAGUGAAGAAGGUUUUCGGAUCGUAAAGCUCUGUUGUUGGUGAAGAAGGAUAGAGGUAGUAACUGGCCUUUAUUUGACGGUAAUCAACCAGAAAGUCACGGCUAACUACGUGCCAGCAGCCGCGGUAAUACGUAGGUGGCAAGCGUUGUCCGGAUUUAUUGGGCGUAAAGCGAGCGCAGGCGGAAGAAUAAGUCUGAUGUGAAAGCCCUCGGCUUAACCGAGGAACUGCAUCGGAAACUGUUUUUCUUGAGUGCAGAAGAGGAGAGUGGAAUUCCAUGUGUAGCGGUGGAAUGCGUAGAUAUAUGGAAGAACACCAGUGGCGAAGGCGACUCUCUGGUCUGCAACUGACGCUGAUGCUCGAAAGCAUGGGUAGCGAACAGGAUUAGAUACCCUGGUAGUCCAUGCCGUAACGAUGAGUGCUAAGUGUUGGGAGGUUUCCGCCUCUCAGUGCUGCAGCUAACGCAUUAGCACUCCGCCUGGGGAGUACGACCGACAGGGUUGAUACUCAAUACGAGUGACGGCGGCCCGCACAAGCAGUGGAGCAUGCUGGGUUUAAUUACGUAGGCCAACGCCCGCGACAUA